GCCUGCCCGAUGAUUCAUCCUAAGCUAACUAUAAUUAGCAAACCUGAAUUCAAUGGCCGCGGUAUUUCUGACCGUGAUAAUGUAGCGAAAUCAAUCGUCACUUAAUUGCUGACCUGUAUCAAAGGUAUUACGAAUGUUCCGCUGUCUCAAGAAAAACCCCUGUGAAAUUGAAGAGGCCGUGCAUAUGCGGCCUACCCCCCUGUAAGACGAAAAGACCCUAUUGAGCUUUACUACACCCUUUUCUCAAGCACACUAGAAAAGAGAUAACUUCUUAAUCUAGUUAAUAGGAAAGGAGGCUAGUUUCGUUGGGGCGACGACCUUUAAAAAAGUAACAAAGGUUAGCGAAGGUUAAUUAUCUUAAUGGUAAGCGCCUGACUGCCUGGCUAAUAUGCCUAUCASACACUAUUGUGAGCCAUAGUUUUCCAUUUUAAAUCAAAAUUUAAAAUGCCAUAAUAUAAAAGUUACCAUAGGGAUAACAGCGUAAUUUUGUCGAAGAGCUCAUAUCGAUGACAAAGAUUGCGACCUCGAUGUUGAAUUGNGGUAUCCUGGGGGUGCAGCCGNUCCC
This 565-nucleotide ribosomal RNA is filed under the name Haliclystus inabai. RNAcentral's name for it is "partial 16S ribosomal RNA". It matches the Rfam family "Bacterial large subunit ribosomal RNA", at positions 1857 to 2566 of the family's 2925-position model. The record is from RNAcentral. Lineage: Eukaryota; Metazoa; Cnidaria; Staurozoa; Stauromedusae; Haliclystidae.